AGAACAAACAUUCGCACCUCAGUAUUAAAAAUAUAAUAUAGAUAUACUAUAUUUUUAAUACUGAGGUGCGAAUGUUUGUUCU
RNAcentral lists this microRNA precursor (82 nucleotides) under Gallid alphaherpesvirus 1. Its description in RNAcentral is "microRNA iltv-mir-I7 precursor". Its record names the gene iltv-mir-I7. The record is from miRBase by way of RNAcentral. Lineage: Duplodnaviria; Heunggongvirae; Peploviricota; Herviviricetes; Herpesvirales; Orthoherpesviridae.